GAUUAUUGCAUUUUCUAAAAAUAAGUAUUUAUAUUGCAAUAUAUCCAUCUGACAAUAUUAACAUAUCCUCUGUAGUCCUUUGCUUUCUUGCAACGAUACAUGUAAUUGACGUUCUACGGAAUGUCUUCGUAUUGAUUAUUGGCCACCAUACUAGAGUCUUAGAGAUUCCCAAUUGGUAACAGACUCAAUUCCACCAGGAAGAAUUUCAUAGUAAAACAAUUGGGAAGAACAUAAUUUUCUACUUGUCUUUUUAUUUUUUAGUUAAAAAAAAUCAUGGAUUGGUGAAUGGUGAUACUGGUGGUAUCUUGGAUGAACAACACGUGGUUUCUGUCAGGAAGAAUAUAA
RNAcentral lists this unclassified non-coding RNA (345 nucleotides) under Hevea brasiliensis (rubber tree). The record is from RNAcentral. Lineage: Eukaryota; Viridiplantae; Streptophyta; Magnoliopsida; Malpighiales; Euphorbiaceae.